AUGUCGUAUUAACUUGGUAUUUAGUCUCUUCAGCCCCUCUGCGAGAUGGAGUCGACCUAAUUUGGGAGAGUCCCAUCUUGGACAAAAGACUCUAAAACUGCGCAGCUCCUAAAGACUUUGUGAAGAGAUCUGCGAUCUGUUGUCGCGAAGGGAAAUGCAAGGUUGUGAUGAACCCUCUAGUGAUUUGGUCACGAACUAGGUGGAAGUCGAUAUCGAGGUGCUUCGUUCGUUUGUGAAAAACGUUGGGCGGCCCGAUUAUCGCAAUGCAGGGGUAUGGGGAGAUUUGACCAGAUCUGGAAAUCUUUGAGGAGAUAAGUAACCCAUUGAAUCUCACAUGCUGUCACAGCCAUACUACGAUAUUUAGCUUUAGCUGAAGAGCGACUAACCGUGUUUUGCUUCUUUGUUUUACAGGAAAUAAGAGAGGAGCUAUUUUGUUAAAAGCCUGUAUGGCCUAAAAUAUGCGAAUUGGUUAAAAGCCUGUUGUGAGAUUAAGUGGUACCUACAUAGUCAUUGUCUAUCCUCACUUGCUUCGUUGUUUUGUUAAAUUAAGUGGUGACCAUGUUGAUGAAUUCCUCCAGAAUAGGAAAUACACAUUGUUUGCUUUAGAGCAAAUAAGUCCAACUUGCUCUAGUAUAGUCAUCCACUAGUGUCAAAAUGUACUUGGCAUUUGAGAUAGAGUAGACUGAAUAAGGGCCCCAAAGAUCUAUGUGUACUAAUUCAAAACAAUCAAUAGAAGUAAUCUUUCUUUUAUUGAAGCUUAACCUUUGUUGUUUUGCAAUAGAGCAAACACUAUAUAUGUAUGGGCUGAAAUCACUUGCACUUAUUACAUUCAAAUGUAGUAAUUUGUUUCUAGAAAUAUGACCCAGU
RNAcentral lists this long non-coding RNA (867 nucleotides) under Manihot esculenta (cassava). RNAcentral describes it as "long non-coding RNA (MESC_LNC005044)". Lineage: Eukaryota; Viridiplantae; Streptophyta; Magnoliopsida; Malpighiales; Euphorbiaceae. The record is from RNAcentral.